This 1687-nucleotide long non-coding RNA is filed under the name Anas platyrhynchos platyrhynchos (common mallard). RNAcentral describes it as "lncRNA (ENSAPLG00000016778.1)". The record is from RNAcentral. Lineage: Eukaryota; Metazoa; Chordata; Aves; Anseriformes; Anatidae.
GUUCCUAAUUUUAUUUAAAUAAGCAAAUGCAAAUCCAGAAAUCUUGUGUGCCAUUUCUUUAGUUCUUGCAUGCCAAGUGCCAUAGAGGUAACGCGCAGUAUCAUUGCAAGUCAGGAGAUGGCGAUGUUGCCGAUGAUCUUUGCGCAUCUCACCUGGUUAUGUAACAAGUCGAUUCGGGUGGUAGUGGUGCACGAAAUGCCAUCUCUGUAAACUGUGCUGCAGGUCUGCCAGAUGCUAACCCUCAUACUGCCUAUGUCCCACCUGGUCCAGAAGCAUUUGAUGAUGAAGUUUCUGCAUUCAGAUUGUAUUGCUGCAACUAAAGAAAGCUUGCUGUUAUGAACUAGCAAGUUUGAGAAGCUUGGAAGAGACCUCCACUUUUGUCUGGCCUAAGCAUUCUCACCCUGGGGAUUACAAGGAAUUGGCAGAAGAUCAUCACCUUGCCUCCUCUCAAGAUAAACCUCCACAGGAUAAAUCCUGCAGUAGCAGGUACUGCAAAAGACAUCCAUACACAAGAAGACACAAAGUGGGAUCUGUGAAUCUGUUUAGCCACCACACAAGAGUGAGAGAUUAUUCAAAUACCACGGCUGGGGGAAAACAAGCAGGUGCAACAUCAAAUUAUGUUGGGCAUUUCUUCAAUGGAUAUUUUGUUCUAAAUCAAAGCAUACUGCCAACUAAUAAGGUAAACAGAAUGCAGUUCAGUUAGGAAAGAAGUAGGUUAAACCAGCUGUUCAUUUACUUUCUCUGCGUCAGAAGCAGGAACUCAGUGAGUUCCUUGAACUCGGCAUUCUCUUUUCUUUCAACUUUAUAUACAUGCCUUCACAAUCUCCUGUAAUAUUUUUUUUCCCUUCAUACUGCAGGCAAUAACUGUGAAACUCUUUAAUUUAACAAUAUGUUCUUUGUCCUGCAACUGUUCCUGUUUUGCAACCACAUAGAUUAUAUGUAUGGGCCUGUAGGAAUAGUCAAACAGUUAAUAAGGGUAGGGUUUGGCAUGCUCUCACUAUGUACAAAUUCUACAAUCAAGUCCUGACAGGAAAGCACUGUAUCUCGUGUGGUUCCCAGUCCUGACUAAAAUACUAAAAUAUGCAAAAUAUCACUACUGGGAAUGAUACCUAUUUCCCAAAGAGAUGUAACACUUUUUUUUUUUUUUCUUCCUUAUCAGUGUAUCAUUGAAAGGUAUUUUGUUUAUAUUUAUGCCAUUUAUUUUCCCAAGCAUACUAGGUUUUCAAAAAUGACCCAAGGUUCACUGUGCUUAAGAUAUAGAGGUGUUAUUUCAAACUGUGUUACACCCUUAAUACUGUGUGACUGAAAGAACUACAAACAGACCUAUACCAAAUAACUGUAUUAACCCCUGAGGUUAAAUACUCAUCUGCAUGAUUCCUUGGCUCUUCUGUUUCAGCCAUGUGCCCUAUGCUUGAGUGUAGUGCACAUCCUACAAGAAGACAGAAAUGCCCUGUGCAAAGGGCACUGCAGCACAGAGGUACUGCACACAGGAUGAGGAAAGCAAGGGUCUACUCUGCAAAGCAACUGCACAAAUGCAGUUACUGAUCCUGCUGAUGAGAUGGGAACCUAAGUAAAAUCCAGUGUGUUCCUCUAUGGUUGAAUCAAGAGCAGCAGGAACACAAGACAGGGAACACAGUAAACAAAAACCACUUUAUUUGUAUCUAAUAAACAGUCAUCAGUGCGAACA